GACGAACGCUGGCGGCGUGCUUAACACAUGCAAGUCGAACGGUAAGGCCCUUCGGGGUACACGAGUGGCGAACGGGUGAGUAACACGUGGGUGAUCUGCCCUGCACUUCGGGAUAAGCCUGGGAAACUGGGUCUAAUACCGGAUAGGACCACUGCCUGCAUGGGUGGUGGUGGAAAGCUUUUGCGGUGUGGGAUGGGGCCGCGGCCUAUCAGCUUGUUGGUGGGGUGAUGGCCUACCAAGGCGACGACGGGUAGCCGGCCCGAGAGGGUGACCGGCCGCACUGGGACUGAGAUACGGCCCAGACUCCUACGGGAGGCAGCAGUGGGGAAUAUUGCACAAUGGGCGCAAGCCUGAUGCAGCGACGCCGCGUGAGGGAUGACGGCCUUCGGGUUGUAAACCUCUUUCAGCACCGACGAAGCGCAAGUGACGGUAGGUGCAGAAGAAGGACCGGCCAACUACGUGCCAGCCGCCGCGGUAA
Molecule: ribosomal RNA, 478 nt
Filed under: uncultured bacterium
Lineage: Bacteria
Description: partial 16S ribosomal RNA
Rfam family: Bacterial small subunit ribosomal RNA
Source: RNAcentral